GACGAACGCUGGCGGCGUGCCUAAUACAUGCAAGUAGAACGCACAGUUUAUACCGUAGCUUGCUACACCAUAGACUGUGAGUUGCGAACGGGUGAGUAACGCGUAGGUAACCUGCCGGGUAGCGGGGGAUAACUAUUGGAAACGAUAGCUAAUACCGCAUAAUAUUAAUUAUUGCAUGAUAAUUAAUUGAAAGGUGCAAUUGCACCACUACCAGAUGGACCUGCGUUGUAUUAGCUAGUAGGUGAGGUAACGGCUCACCUAGGCGACGAUACAUAGCCGACCUGAGAGGGUGAUCGGCCACACUGGGACUGAGACACGGCCCAGACUCCUACGGGAGGCAGCAGUAGGGAAUCUUCGGCAAUGGACGAAAGUCUGACCGAGCAACGCCGCGUGAGUGAAGAAGGUUUUCGGAUCGUAAAGCUCUGUUGUAAGAGAAGAACGGGUGUGAGAGUGGAAAGUUCACACUGUGACGGUAUCUUACCAGAAAGGGACGGCUAACUACGUG
This 505-nucleotide ribosomal RNA is filed under the name uncultured bacterium. Its description in RNAcentral is "partial 16S ribosomal RNA". It matches the Rfam family "Bacterial small subunit ribosomal RNA", at positions 28 to 507 of the family's 1533-position model. The record is from RNAcentral.